This 451-nucleotide ribosomal RNA is filed under the name uncultured bacterium. Its description in RNAcentral is "partial 16S ribosomal RNA". It matches the Rfam family "Bacterial small subunit ribosomal RNA", at positions 354 to 796 of the family's 1533-position model. The record is from RNAcentral.
GUGGGGAAUAUUGGACAAUGGGCGAAAGCCUGAUCCAGCCAUGCCGCGUGUGUGAAGAAGGCCUUUUGGUUGUAAAGCACUUUAAGCGAGGAGGAGGCUACCGAGAUUAAUACUCUUGGAUAGUGGACGUUACUCGCAGAAUAAGCACCGGCUAACUCUGUGCCAGCAGCCGCGGUAAUACAGAGGGUGCAAGCGUUAAUCGGAUUUACUGGGCGUAAAGCGCGCGUAGGUGGCCAAUUAAGUCAAAUGUGAAAUCCCCGAGCUUAACUUGGGAAUUGCAUUCGAUACUGGUUGGCUAGAGUAUGGGAGAGGAUGGUAGAAUUCCAGGUGUAGCGGUGAAAUGCGUAGAGAUCUGGAGGAAUACCGAUGGCGAAGGCAGCCAUCUGGCCUAAUACUGACACUGAGGUGCGAAAGCAUGGGGAGCAAACAGGAUUAGAAACCCCUGUAGUCC